Molecule: ribosomal RNA, 782 nt
Filed under: Clostridiales bacterium
Lineage: Bacteria; Bacillati; Bacillota; Clostridia; Eubacteriales
Description: bacterial SSU rRNA
Rfam family: Bacterial small subunit ribosomal RNA
Source: RNAcentral
UUUUAAGAGUUUGAUCCUGGCUCAGGACGAACGCUGGCGGCGUGCUUAACACAUGCAAGUCGAACGAAGCUUGAUUACGGAUUCUUCGGAUGAAGUAUGAUAUGACUGAGUGGCGGACGGGUGAGUAACGCGUGAGUAACCUGCCCUUCAGAGGGGGAUAGCGUUUGGAAACGAACGGUAAUACCGCAUAAUGUAUUUUGACCGCAUGAUCGAAAUACCAAAGAUUUAUCGCUGAAGGAUGGACUCGCGUCUGAUUAGGUAGUUGGUGGGGUAACGGCCUACCAAGCCGACGAUCAGUAGCCGGACUGAGAGGUUGAUCGGCCACAUUGGGACUGAGACACGGCCCAGACUCCUACGGGAGGCAGCAGUGGGGAAUAUUGCACAAUGGGCGCAAGCCUGAUGCAGCAACGCCGCGUGAAGGAAGACGGUUUUCGGAUUGUAAACUUCUGUUCUUAGUGAAGAAUAAUGACGGUAGCUAAGGAGCAAGCCACGGCUAACUACGUGCCAGCAGCCGCGGUAAUACGUAGGUGGCAAGCGUUGUCCGGAAUUACUGGGUGUAAAGGGAGCGCAGGCGGGUGAUCAAGUCAGCUGUGAAAACUACGGGCUUAACCCGUAGACUGCAGUUGAAACUGUUCAUCUUGAGUGAAGUAGAGGUUGGCGGAAUUCCGAGUGUAGCGGUGAAAUGCGUAGAUAUUCGGAGGAACACCGGUGGCGAAGGCGGCCAACUGGGCUUUAACUGACGCUGAGGCUCGAAAGUGUGGGGAGCAAACAGGAUUAGAUAC